Ficedula albicollis (Collared flycatcher) is the source of this 393-nucleotide long non-coding RNA. RefSeq lists it as uncharacterized. The record is from RefSeq and is a predicted model, not a curated record. The transcript is spliced from 3 exons. Lineage: Eukaryota; Metazoa; Chordata; Aves; Passeriformes; Muscicapidae.
AAAAAUUAUCAUGGAGGCAGAGGUUAAUGCAAGUGUUUAGCAGAUGCCUUACAGUAAAAUCUGCAUUUAAAAAAAUUGAAAAAAACCCAAACAACAAAAACGCCCCUACAAACUCAUUAAAACUUAAAUAUCGGAUAAUCUCAAACCAGCUUACUGCCCGCGCCUGGUCACAUCCACCAGCGUUCACCCGAGUGACUCGCGCCUGAAAUCGGUUUCAUGCUUCUUGAACUGGUGUGAUCGGAAAGUGAAGAAGUCGGAAAAUGGAGAAGUGAGUGUCAUAUACCUCCCCAGACUUGGAGGGAAACGGAGCCGCGGCCAAAAGGAGUGGGUGUAAACGCGACAACAAAAAUAAAUACUUUAUAUCACCCUGCAGAACUUAUUUUACUGAGUCAA